RNAcentral lists this unclassified non-coding RNA (339 nucleotides) under soil metagenome. Its description in RNAcentral is "partial contains 5.8S ribosomal RNA, internal transcribed spacer 2, and large subunit ribosomal RNA". The stretch from base 1 to 120 matches the Rfam family "5.8S ribosomal RNA", at positions 35 to 154 of the family's 154-position model. The record is from RNAcentral.
GAUGAAGAACGUAGUGAAAUGCGAUAAGUAGUGUGAAUUGCAGAAUUCAGUGAAUCAUCGAAUCUUUGAACGCACAUUGCGCCCCUCGGUAUUCCGUGGGGCAUGCCUGUUCGAGCGUCAUUUAACCCCUCAAGCCUAGCUUGGUAUUGGGUGCUUGUCCCGCCUCUCGCGCGGCGACUCACCUCAAAGUCAUUGGCAGCCCGCAUCUCGCCGGCCGUGAGCGCAGCACAGACGCGCUCUUGGCAACGACGGAUCGGCUCUCCAAAAGCUUAUUUCAACCACUGACCUCGGAUCAGGUAGGGAUACCCGCAGAACUUAAGCAUAUCAAUAAGCGGAGGA